Molecule: long non-coding RNA, 735 nt
Organism: Mesocricetus auratus (golden hamster)
Lineage: Eukaryota; Metazoa; Chordata; Mammalia; Rodentia; Cricetidae
Exons: 3
Source: RefSeq, a predicted model, not a curated record
GGCAGAAACUGAAGAAGAGACCACAGAGGAAGGCUCUGUGUGUACUGGCUUGUUCCUCAUGGCUUGCUCAGCCGCCCUUCUUAUACAGGCCAAGCCCACUUGUCUAAGAGUGGCACCACCCACAAUGGUCUGGGCCCUCCUCCAUCAGUCAAUAAUCAUGAAAAAUGUCCCCCAAACACGAUGACAUGCCAAUCUGAUGGAGGCAAUCUCUCAGUUGAGAUUCCCAGAAUGGCUAGGCCUGUGCAAGUUGACAGAAACUAACAACUAUUGCAUCUUUGAGUUUGUGAGCCAACACAGUGCCCUGUGGCUCAGAGUCCUUACUGACCCUAGAGAGGAUUACACCGAGGCUACCUAAGGUCACACCACUUCUCGACUUAAGAUGACUGCAAGGAACCCACACAGCACAGACAGUAAGCAAGCCCCAAGGCUCAGAAGAGCCCCUGCGUCCAGCUGCCACGCUAAACCCACCAUCUGCCUAAUAGCAGGUAAAAAGGAUAACAAAGUACAUCUGAGAAAGAAGGCUUUUCUUCAACAAAGGCAGCCCCCACACGUGCUGCCAGAAGUUCCAUUAGGGCUGUCAACUUACUUCAUCCUUGCCUGAUCUUCACCCUCACCGAGGAACAUCUUCUCUAAAAAUGACCCAUAUUUUUGGAAGCAUGAACUCCCAUUCUUUCUGUGGCUUAGACUUAAGAAAAAAAUGACGCUGAUUCCCGUUUCAUGUUUGCAAUAAAUUAA